This 434-nucleotide ribosomal RNA is filed under the name uncultured Lachnospiraceae bacterium. RNAcentral describes it as "partial 16S ribosomal RNA". It matches the Rfam family "Bacterial small subunit ribosomal RNA", at positions 341 to 792 of the family's 1533-position model. The record is from RNAcentral. Lineage: Bacteria; Bacillati; Bacillota; Clostridia; Lachnospirales; Lachnospiraceae.
ACGGAAGGCAGCAGUGGGGAAUAUUGGACAAUGGGGGAAACCCUGAUCCAGCGACGCCGCGUGAGUGAAGAAGUAUUUCGGUAUGUAAAGCUCUUUAGGCAGGAAAGAAAAUGACGGUACCUGCAGAAUAAGCCCCGGCUAACUACGUGCCAGCAGCCGCGGAAAUACGUAGGGGGCAAGCGUUAUCCGGAUUUACUGGGUGUAAAGGGAGCGUAGACGGCUGUGCAAGUCUGAAGUGAAAGCCCGCGGCUUAACUGCGGGACUGCUUUGGGAACUGUAUAGCUAGAGUGUCGGAGAGGUAAGUGGAAUUCCCAGUGUAGCGGUGAAAUGCGUAGAUAUUGGGAGGAACACCAGAGGCGAAGGCGGCUUACUGGACGAUUACUGACGUUGAGGCUCGAAAGCGUGGGGAGCAAACAGGAUUAGAUACCCUGGUA